This 4091-nucleotide long non-coding RNA is filed under the name Nicotiana benthamiana. RNAcentral's name for it is "long non-coding RNA (NBEN_LNC016050)". Lineage: Eukaryota; Viridiplantae; Streptophyta; Magnoliopsida; Solanales; Solanaceae. The record is from RNAcentral.
CCUCUUUUAAGCAGUUAAACCGUUCAUAAGCAGAUUAAAUAUGAUUUAGUGAUAUUGAUUAACGGAAGUACAACCUAACACAACCCAAACCAGAGUGACACAAGUCACGAGCAUCUAUGAAUAUAUGAAUACAACUACAAAGUCUGAAAUAUACAAAAAAUAGGACUGAUAAACAAAUGAAGAAAUGCGGUGCUAUGAACACUGGCAAUCACCUCGCUAAAUGCCGAUAAUUUAGUCUCCGAUUAGCCCAAAACCCGCUACCGGGUGAAUGAAAUACUUGCAUCUGCACACGAUGUACAGGGAGUAAAGUGAGUACUCCAACUCAGUGAGUAAUAAAGGUAAAUAAUAACUUAGCAGUAAGAGAAUCACGUAAGGAAAACUAUCAUGAUGUAUAGAAAGAGUAUAAAACCCCUUGAGAAAAGCAAUGAAGCUGUAAAAUCUUUAGAAAACGUCUUAACCCAGUUUAAACCUCUUUUAAAAAUUCCCCUUUCAAGCUGAUAUGCAAUUGAAUGCAAAUAAUUUGUGCAAAUAAGCACAGAGAUCCGCCACUCAUGCGCAACACUCACUCAAUAGAAAAAGCCAGGUAAUCAGGUAGAUAUCACAUGAAAUAGCAUAACAAAAGAUAAUGGCAGACAAAUAAAUGAGUAAACACAUAAAAUAGUACUGGUACCGCUGCAGCAUGCAGCCUAAUCCAUACAUCAUUGCGGCGUGCAGUCCGAUCUGAUUAUCAUCGACGGCGCUCACUAGGGGUGUGCAAACUCCGGGAGGGGCCCCUUACAGCCCAAGAGCAAAAUCAAGUCAUCUCGCGGCAUCAAAUCUAGGCCCUCGACCUUAUAUCAGUAUCAGUAUCUCACUGCUGCGACGUGCAACCCAAUCCAAAAGUAUCCUCACAACACAUGCCCUCGGCUUUACUCAGUCAAAAAUCACGUAAGCCCCUCGGGCAACAGUAAAACAUGAUGUUCAACCCAAAAAUAUUGUUAGAAAUAUAAUUUCAAGCGUUAAAGCAAAAUAAACUUGGCUGAUUUUUUAACAACAGUGGAAAAUACAUGAUUGAGUUCAAGUAUAAAAUCACAACAGUUAGAAAAUAUCAGUUCAAAUUUCUGGCACGAAAGCCAAAUAUAUCAAUCAGACCAAGUCAAGAUGAUAACAAAUAAGUUUCAAUGAAAUACACGGUAAAAUCAUCAAUUGGGACGGAUCAAGUCGCAAUCUCCAAUGGUGAUCUACCCUAUGAUCGCUAUCCGGCGUCAAGUCACCUCAUUAUAGCAACUACGAUGUGCAAUCCGGGGUCUCAAACCCUCAGAACAUCAUUCACAAUCAUUACUCACCUCAAACCGCCAAAACUCUAGCUCGCUAUGUCCUUGCCUCUAUGAACGGCCUCCUCGUGCGUCGAAUCUGAUCAAAACUAUAGUGAAUACAUCACAAUAGGCUAAGGGAAUAAAACCCAAGUGAAAACAAUCAAAAAAUAUCAAAAAUUUCGAAAUUACCAAAACUCGAGCGUCGAUCCCACUUCUCGAAUCUCAAAAAAAUUCACAUUAACGGGUUCCUUAUUUCGGCGCGAGUCUAUACAUAUCAAGAGCACCAAAUCGGAGUCCAAAUGACCCCUCAAAUCCCAAUUUUAGAAUCUAAAAAUUCAAGCCCUAGUUCUUCCCUUUUUGGCUAAAUCUUCAUGAAUCUCCCAAUUAAUUUCACAAUAUAAAUGAGUUUUAAGUUCAUAAAUCUUUCCUCCAUCGAUUUCCCUUGAAUCCCUCUUUAAUUUCUUUCAAAAGCUCUCAAAAUUACCAACUAUGGAGUGAAAAUGAGCACACACCCGCGCAAGAGAUGUUUAUAACUCUUCUGUCCAGCACUUAAAAAUCCUUCUUCGCGAAUGCGGUCAAAGCCUCGCGUUUGCGAAGCACAACAAUUCCAUAGACCAUAAUUCACAAACGCGUAGCUUUACCCCAGGCAACCCUACGCGAACGUGACCCCACUCAUACGAACACGAAGAACAAAUUUCACUUCUAAUCCACCUGACCCAAUUCCUCUUAUGCGAACGCGAAUACACCCAUGCAGACGCGAUGUCUUCCCUUUUACAAUCUAUGCUAAUGCGGCCCUAUGGCCGCAAACGCGAAGAGAAAAAGCUGGCCAGCCCAAACUCCUCUUCGCGAACGCGAACAUCCUUGUGCGAACGCGCAACACCAGCUCCCAGAACUAUGCGAACGCGGGCCCCUGGCUGCGAACGCGAAGAACAAACUUAGGCCACCCAAAUUCCUGCUAUGCGAAUGCAAGUUCCUUCUCGUGAUCAUGAAGGCAAAAUAUGAACCUGCACUGCUGCUACAUUUUCUACUAUCUUUUCAAAUUCUAAGCUUCCCGUUAGCCAUCCGAAAUCACCACGAGGUCGGGACCUCAACCAAACAUACCUGCAUAAUCCAUAACGCCAUUCAAACUUAUUUCAAUCAUCAAAAUACCUCCAACAAUAUCAAAUUACUCAAAACUCAUCGAAUCCAAGCCUAAGUUUCCAAAUACAUCUGAAAUACACUUUCAAUCAAAAACUCGACAAAACAACGUACGAAUGAUCUGAAAUUUUGCGCACACAUCCCAAAUGACAUAAUGGAGCUAUUGCAACUCUCAAAAUUCCAUUCCAACUCUCAGAUCAAAAUCUCACCUACCAAUCGGAAUUCGCCAAAAUACUAACUCAUCAAUUCAAGCGAAAUUUCACACCGGAUCUCCAAAAACAAUUCCGAUCACACUCCUAAGUCAAAAAUCAUCUUAAGAAGCUAACCAAAUCAUAAAAAUUCUGAUCCGGGCUCAUAUACAAAUAAGUCAACUUUUGGUCAAACCUUUCAAAUUCCAAGCUUUCAACUAAAACUGUUCUUCUAAAUUCAUUCUGACUUUUCCUGAAAUCAACACCAACGAUCUAUAUCAAUCAUAAUACAUCAUAUGAAGCAAGUCAUGCCCAAAAACUGAAAAUCAAAAUGCAAAAGCUCAAAACGAUCAGUCGGGUCGUUACAUAAAUGCUAUCUCACAAUUAUCAGUUCUUACUACUUCUGCUACCAUCUCAGUGAACAAUCCCCAAAGAGCCAAAUCAACCACAACUAGCAUAUUCAUAUUUAUAUUAAAAAGAAAAAAAUUAACAAUUAUAUAAAUGAUAAACAAACUAUUUAUAGGUUUUUCUCGUUUCAUUUGACGUCCUUUUGACUCUUGUCGCCAAUAGUCAGAACAAGAGCAUGAACUUAGCUUAAAACAGUGAAAGCGACUACGAUCUCUUAUUACAAUUUCUCUAUAAUACACUUUGGAAACAAACUUCAUGGCUGGCAAUCUCGGCAUAUCCUUAAAUUCUUGAAAACAUAAAGAGGCAUGCUAGCCGGUAUGCUUAUGAGCCCAAAACAAAUAGCCAACUUCUCGCAGAUAACUGAAAGCUAUGAAUUAAGCAAAACUCUUUGGCUUUGCUACCUGCUAACUUGUAGCCAUUCAAUUUUUAUACACAUUACACACAACCAUAUCAUAUAGAAUUUCAUACUAAAUUCGAAUUACAACAUAGUAGAAUAGUUGAUAAUAAAAAUUAAACAACGAAAAUAGCAUAGAAUUUCAUAUGCUCAAUACUAUAUCGUAUAGAUUCCAUUGACAGAAAGUGAAAAUUACAUAGUUGAGCGAGUGAGUAAUACCUUGAAACAAAGAAAGGGCAGAAGGAAACAAUAGCAGCUGAUAUAGAGCUAAAUUCCAGCAACAGAAAGCAGUGCUUUAGGCUUGAACGAAACUCAAUAGACACCCAGCGAAAAGUAUUCAAGAUUUAAAGCUUCCAGCAAUCCAUUAGCACUCAAAUCUUUACUAAAUCUCUAUUUUUUCUCUGUUAUUUCAAAACCCCUUUUCUCCAGAUCUGAUUUUCUGAAAUUCAAAAAUUGGUUCUCAGCUGUUUCGUGUGUGUGUAUGUGGUGUAGACGAGGGAGCGAGGAAGAAGAAAGGGUCACGGUGCUGUUGAAGGAGAGUCUGAUUUUUGGUCUGUUUUAGUUGCUUCUCCUUCAAAAAUCAGCUGCGCCGUCUUGGGUGUUUCUAAAAGGGAGUUUUCUAUAUCAGAGAAGGGAGGUAAUCUGAUGGUUUAAUAGGUCUAUGUCUAG